This 1435-nucleotide ribosomal RNA is filed under the name Salmonella enterica. RNAcentral's name for it is "partial 23S ribosomal RNA". It matches the Rfam family "Bacterial large subunit ribosomal RNA", at positions 1384 to 2802 of the family's 2925-position model. Lineage: Bacteria; Pseudomonadati; Pseudomonadota; Gammaproteobacteria; Enterobacterales; Enterobacteriaceae. The record is from RNAcentral.
UCGACCCCUAAGGCGAGGCCGAAAGGCGUAGUCGAUGGGAAACGGGUUAAUAUUCCCGUACUUGGUGUUACUGCGAAGGGGGGACGGAGAAGGCUAUGUUGGCCGGGCGACGGUUGUCCCGGUUUAAGCGUGUAGGUGUGUGUUCCAGGUAAAUCCGGUUCACUUUAACACUGAGGCGUGAUGACGAGGCACUACGGUGCUGAAGCAACAAAUGCCCUGCUUCCAGGAAAAGCCUCUAAGCAUCAGGUAACAUCAAAUCGUACCCCAAACCGACACAGGUGGUCAGGUAGAGAAUACCAAGGCGCUUGAGAGAACUCGGGUGAAGGAACUAGGCAAAAUGGUGCCGUAACUUCGGGAGAAGGCACGCUGACACGUAGGUGAAGUGAUUUACUCAUGGAGCUGAAGUCAGUCGAAGAUACCAGCUGGCUGCAACUGUUUAUUAAAAACACAGCACUGUGCAAACACGAAAGUGGACGUAUACGGUGUGACGCCUGCCCGGUGCCGGAAGGUUAAUUGAUGGGGUCAGCGCAAGCGAAGCUCCUGAUCGAAGCCCCGGUAAACGGCGGCCGUAACUAUAACGGUCCUAAGGUAGCGAAAUUCCUUGUCGGGUAAGUUCCGACCUGCACGAAUGGCGUAAUGAUGGCCAGGCUGUCUCCACCCGAGACUCAGUGAAAUUGAACUCGCUGUGAAGAUGCAGUGUACCCGCGGCAAGACGGAAAGACCCCGUGAACCUUUACUAUAGCUUGACACUGAACAUUGAGCCUUGAUGUGUAGGAUAGGUGGGAGGCUUUGAAGUGUGGACGCCAGUCUGCAUGGAGCCGACCUUGAAAUACCACCCUUUAAUGUUUGAUGUUCUAACGUGGACCCGUAAUCCGGGUUGCGGACAGUGUCUGGUGGGUAGUUUGACUGGGGCGGUCUCCUCCUAAAGAGUAACGGAGGAGCACGAAGGUUGGCUAAUCCUGGUCGGACAUCAGGAGGUUAGUGCAAUGGCAUAAGCCAGCUUGACUGCGAGCGUGACGGCGCGAGCAGGUGCGAAAGCAGGUCAUAGUGAUCCGGUGGUUCUGAAUGGAAGGGCCAUCGCUCAACGGAUAAAAGGUACUCCGGGGAUAACAGGCUGAUACCGCCCAAGAGUUCAUAUCGACGGCGGUGUUUGGCACCUCGAUGUCGGCUCAUCACAUCCUGGGGCUGAAGUAGGUCCCAAGGGUAUGGCUGUUCGCCAUUUAAAGUGGUACGCGAGCUGGGUUUAGAACGUCGUGAGACAGUUCGGUCCCUAUCUGCCGUGGGCGCUGGAGAACUGAGGGGGGCUGCUCCUAGUACGAGAGGACCGGAGUGGACGCAUCACUGGUGUUCGGGUUGUCAUGCCAAUGGCACUGCCCGGUAGCUAAAUGCGGAAGAGAUAAGUGCUGAAAGCAUCUAAGCACGAAACUUGCCCCGA